Molecule: ribosomal RNA, 730 nt
Filed under: Pseudomonas pohangensis
Lineage: Bacteria; Pseudomonadati; Pseudomonadota; Gammaproteobacteria; Pseudomonadales; Pseudomonadaceae
Description: bacterial SSU rRNA
Rfam family: Bacterial small subunit ribosomal RNA
Source: RNAcentral
AGCGGCGGACGGGUGAGUAAUGCCUAGGAAUCUGCCUGGUAGUGGGGGAUAACGUUCGGAAACGGACGCUAAUACCGCAUACGUCCUACGGGAGAAAGUGGGGGAUCUUCGGGCCUUGCGCUAUCAGAUGAGCCUAGGUCGGAUUAGCUAGUUGGUGAGGUAAUGGCUCACCAAGGCGACGAUCCGUAACUGGUCUGAGAGGAUGAUCAGUCACACUGGAACUGAGACACGGUCCAGACUCCUACGGGAGGCAGCAGUGGGGAAUAUUGGACAAUGGGCGCAAGCCUGAUCCAGCCAUGCCGCGUGUGUGAAGAAGGUCUUCGGAUUGUAAAGCACUUUAAGUUGGGAGGAAGGGUUGUAGCCUAAUACGUUGCUACUUUGACGUUACCGACAGAAUAAGCACCGGCUAACUCUGUGCCAGCAGCCGCGGUAAUACAGAGGGUGCAAGCGUUAAUCGGAAUUACUGGGCGUAAAGCGCGCGUAGGUGGUUUGAUAAGUUGGAUGUGAAAUCCCCGGGCUCAACCUGGGAACUGCAUCCAAAACUGCAUGGCUUAGAGUACGGUAGAGGGUGGUGGAAUUUCCUGUGUAGCGGUGAAAUGCGUAGAUAUAGGAAGGAACACCAGUGGCGAAGGCGACUACCUGGACUGAUACUGACACUGAGGUGCGAAAGCGUGGGGAGCAAACAGGAUUAGAUACCCUGGUAGUCCACGCCGUAAACGAUGUCAACUAG